Molecule: long non-coding RNA, 896 nt
Filed under: Homo sapiens (human)
Lineage: Eukaryota; Metazoa; Chordata; Mammalia; Primates; Hominidae
Description: HSALNT0321009
Source: RNAcentral
AAUAUAAUUAUUUUGAAUUCUUCAAAAGCUUGAUUCAUUUCAAGAAUAUAGCUAACUAACUCUAUGUGUUUCUUAACCUCACAAAACACUUUAUUUUAUAUAUGUGAAGUUUGACUUGCAUAAAGGAAACAUUCAUUCUUUUCCUUUAAUUGCAAACCAGGAUAAUUAUUAUAAUGUGUUGAUGAGGAUUGGAACUCAGAGAAAGCUUGAGUUCCAAUCCUCAUCAACACCUUAAUAGUAGCCUUGUGAUGACAAAUUUAAAUUGUGACUGAAUUCUUGACACACAGAAGCUGUAAGAAAAUAUGUAUUUGUAACUUCAAGCUGUUAAAUUUGUAGUGAUUUGUUAUGCAGCAAUGGAUGACUAGUAUAAUGGAUCAACUCACUUAAAUUUGGGAACUUCAGCAUGAAAAUAGCCUGCUGAAAGAAUUCACUUUGAAAAUGCCACAAAACAGACAAUGGAAAAAUGAGGGUCAUCAGAACUACAUCUUCCUAAGAGGGAAAGAAACACCCAAUAACAUCUUGGCAGGUGCUGCAUAAUCAUGCCUCAAAUGACUUUCUGAAGAUAAAAAGAAAGUGGUACUUGCUUGCAUAACUGAACAUAUCUGCCUGAGUUGUUUUCCUACAGAUGUUAUCCUGGGAAUAGAAACAAAAUUGUUCAUUCCCUAGCAGCCUUCAAGAAGCACUGUGAUCUAGGGCAGCACAGAGCCAGCAAUGAGAGACAGAAUGACAUUCACAAUUCUAGAAGAAAACACUGGAGUGGAAUAUACACAGAAUGGCUGUUUGGUCUCAAGACUGCAUGAAUUAUUAUCCGGCUAUGCUGGAUGUUCUAAUUCCUUUCUCUCAGAGGACUGUAGGUAGAUACAUAUGCUGACUACAUAUGUGGAUAACACUGUCGA